Molecule: non-coding RNA, 261 nt
Organism: Labrus bergylta (ballan wrasse)
Lineage: Eukaryota; Metazoa; Chordata; Actinopteri; Labriformes; Labridae
Source: RefSeq, a predicted model, not a curated record
UGAUUUAAAUGAUCCUAACAAGGUGGGAGGACUCAGAAGCUUCAGUCUGUCUGAGAUCAUGCUGCAGCUGCUCCUCUCUGCUCUUCUCUUUGUUCCACACCUUCAAAAUGUCGACGCUGGUCCCAUUGAAGAGACCACAAAAGCGCCGCAGGGAGACGGGUUCAUCAGAGCGUUGGAGUAUAUGAAGAAAACCCCCGAGACUUUAGACGAGCUGAUGACCAGAAACUACGCGCUGGCCGAGGGAGACCUCGUGCUGUCAGU